CUCCGCUUCGCAGGGUUCAAGCUAUUCUCGUGCCUCAGCCUCCCUAGCAGCUGAAGAUAACGUAAUGGUAACUAGAGCCUGAGAUUAAUGACGACCUUUUCAUUCUGUUCAGAACGCCACUUUUAAAAGUUGUUAAUAGAGGGAGGUAAAUGUGUCAGCUGCAUUAAUAAGAGAGGUGUGGUGUUUGUUUUCCUUCUUAGUAUAUAAGAGCCAGAUAAUCAAAAUACACAUACAAAAAUGCCACUGACAGUAAGGGUCCAAAAGAGGUAAUGCUUUCAUUAGUACUU
Molecule: long non-coding RNA, 287 nt
Filed under: Pan troglodytes (chimpanzee)
Lineage: Eukaryota; Metazoa; Chordata; Mammalia; Primates; Hominidae
Description: long non-coding RNA NONPTRT013942
Source: RNAcentral